RNAcentral lists this ribosomal RNA (440 nucleotides) under uncultured bacterium. RNAcentral's name for it is "partial 16S ribosomal RNA". It matches the Rfam family "Bacterial small subunit ribosomal RNA", at positions 338 to 795 of the family's 1533-position model. The record is from RNAcentral.
CCUACGGGAGGCAGCAGUGGGGAAUAUUGCCCAAUGGGGGAAACCCUGAUGCAGCGACGCCGCGUGAGUGAAGAAGUAAUUCGUUAUGUAAAGCUCUAUCAGCCGGGAAGAAAAUGACGGUCCCUGCUUACGAAGCCCCGGCUAACUACGUGCCCGCAGCCGCGGUAAUACGUAGGGGUCAAGCGUUAUCCGGAUUUACUGGGUGUAAAGGGGGCGUAGACGGCAGUGCAAGUCUGGAGUGAAAGGCGGGGGCUCAACCCCCGGACUGCUCUGGAAACUGUACGGCUGGAGUGCAGGAGAGGUAAGUGGAAUUCCUAGUGUAGCGGUGAAAUGCGUAGAUAUUAGGAGGAACACCAGUGGCGAAGGCGGCUUACUGGACUGUAACUGACGUUGAGGCUCGAAAGCGUGGGGAGCAAACAGGAUUAGAUACCCUUGUAGUC